UCCAGACUCCUACGGGAGGCAGCAGUGGGGAAUAUUGCACAAUGGGGGAAACCCUGAUGCAGCGACGCCGCGUGAGCGAUGAAGUAUUUCGGUAUGUAAAGCUCUAUCAGCAGGGAAGAAAAUGACGGUACCUGACUAAGAAGCCCCGGCUAACUACGUGCCAGCAGCCGCGGUAAUACGUAGGGGGCAAGCGUUAUCCGGAUUUACUGGGUGUAAAGGGAGCGUAGACGGCGGUGCAAGCCAGAUGUGAAAGCCCGGGGCUCAACCCCGGGACUGCAUUUGGAACUGUGCUGCUAGAGCGUCGGAGAGGCAGGCGGAAUUCCCAGUGUAGCGGUGAAAUGCGUAGAUAUUAGGAGGAACACCAGUGGCGAAGGCGGCCUGCUGGACGACAACUGACGGUGAGGCGCGAAAGCGUGGGGAGCAAACAGGAUUAGAUACCCGGGUAGA
This 447-nucleotide ribosomal RNA is filed under the name uncultured bacterium. RNAcentral describes it as "bacterial SSU rRNA". It matches the Rfam family "Bacterial small subunit ribosomal RNA", at positions 330 to 794 of the family's 1533-position model. The record is from RNAcentral.